ACCGCCAGAGCCAUCCUGUGGCCUUCACGGUCACCGUCCUGCCUGUCAAUGACCAACCCCCUGUCCUCACCACAAACACCGGCCUGCAGAUGUGGGAGGGGGCCAGGGCGCCCAUCCCUGCGGAGGCUCUGAGGAGCACGGACGGUGACUCCGGGCCUGAGGACCUGGUCUACACCAUCGAGCAGCCCAGCAACGGGCGGGUAGCGCUGCGGGCGGCGCCGGGCACCGAGGUGCGCAGCUUCACGCAGGCCCAGCUGGACGGCGGGCUCGUGCUGUUCUCACACAGAGGAGCCCUGGACGGAGGCUUCCGCUUC
Long non-coding RNA from Cebus imitator (Panamanian white-faced capuchin), 314 nucleotides. RefSeq lists it as uncharacterized. The transcript is spliced from 3 exons. Lineage: Eukaryota; Metazoa; Chordata; Mammalia; Primates; Cebidae. The record is from RefSeq and is a predicted model, not a curated record.